AUUCUCUAUGAGGUAGCCAUUUUUUCACGUGAAGGUGAGCGGAUUCGGCUCUAUCAAGAUCAAUCUAUUUAUAACCUAUUUAUUAAAUUUGCAGUUUAUGCCUGCUAGGUCAUUUAUGGAGAGUGAUGUACAUGCAGAUAAUACAAGGGUGCAUUUCUCUUACUGUCAAGAAGAAGGUAUAUUUCUCUUAACAUAAUAAUGAUACUGAAACUUUUUGCCCUUUCUAAAUGUAAAAUCGAGUCAUUGAUGUCGCAUUGUUCUUUGGGUCUGAUUGUCCUCAUAAACUGACACCAUGAUAAGAGAAGAUUCAUGUGAAUUAUAAAGCAUCUUAGCACCACUUUUCUAUUUAUUAAUGUCACUGAAAGUAUGCUUUCUCAAGUGUUGAUUCACAACUGCAUAUGACAUCUCUCAUAGUAAUGCGUUACGGACACCAUCUGAAUUAGUAAUGAUAUAUAAUUUCAGUAGCCCACAUGACCACAAUUUGUUAACCUCUCUUUUGCAUGUGCUGGCAAUUUUAAUUUUGCUAUGAAGAUGUAGAAUUGACUUUUGUAGAAUAAAACAAGGUUCCAGAGGUACGUAAGCAAUUACACUGUAAAGCAAUUGACAUUUUCCAUUCUCUGGAUGCACUUUAAGUGAAGACUAUACUUCGUACAGCGGGCUGCUAUUCUUGUUAGUGUUACAAAUUCAGUUCUCAACUUCUCAUAUGAGAAUGUGUUGACUAAGAUCCCUCACUGCCUUGUACAUCUUUCAUUUGUGACUAAUUUUGUGUUCAUGCUUUCUUUAGAUUUAGGUGGAAUUCUGUUCACCGAACAAAUCUUCCUUUUCGCGAUUGGAGACAAGGAGUUGAGUGGAAGGUUUUGGUUCGGCAGAUUGUUCUUCACUAUAUUAUGUCAGAUUUCGUCAUCAAAAUAGUCUUCUGCGGAGAAAUGGCACAAUCUUCUCAUGCCAUUUCGUGGGAGUAACACAACUGCACAAGUAGCAUAGAUGCAGCGAGGCCACUCUAUGACGGAGUGGAGCGGAACACUGGAUGGGUUCAAUAAAUUGAAGAUUAAAGAGUGCAUGAUAGCAUGAUAUAACUCAUGUCCAUGGUAGGUAAACCUUCUGAUUGCAUGGUUUUCUUUAAGUGACCCACUAGAUAAGAUUUGAUUAUUUCAACCUUGAACCGGUGGGUUUCUACGGAACUAUGUAUGAUUUAAACAAUGGUUGAAAUUAUUUAUCUGAGUUUGUUUCAAACAAAUAAAUUUGUAUUGGAAGACAAUUUCAUACUUUCAAUAUGGAUACUGAAGGAUAUAACUAUAUUAUGGGUGAUAUAUAUGUUGAUAGUACGAUUUCAA
Triticum aestivum (bread wheat) is the source of this 1334-nucleotide long non-coding RNA. RefSeq lists it as uncharacterized. NCBI's taxonomy places the organism in Eukaryota, Viridiplantae, Streptophyta, Magnoliopsida, Poales, Poaceae. The transcript is spliced from 3 exons. The record is from RefSeq and is a predicted model, not a curated record.